Molecule: ribosomal RNA, 482 nt
Filed under: uncultured bacterium
Lineage: Bacteria
Description: partial 16S ribosomal RNA
Rfam family: Bacterial small subunit ribosomal RNA
Source: RNAcentral
AUUGAACGCUGGCGGCAUGCCUUACACAUGCAAGUCGAACGGUAACAGGUCUUCGGAUGCUGACGAGUGGCGAACGGGUGAGUAAUACAUCGGAACGUGCCCGAUCGUGGGGGAUAACGAAGCGAAAGCUUUGCUAAUACCGCAUAAGAUCUACGGAUGAAAGCAGGGGACCGCAAGGCCUUGCGCGAACGGAGCGGCCGAUGGCAGAUUAGGUAGUUGGUGGGAUAAAAGCUUACCAAGCCGACGAUCUGUAGCUGGUCUGAGAGGACGACCAGCCACACUGGGACUGAGACACGGCCCAGACUCCUACGGGAGGCAGCAGUGGGGAAUUUUGGACAAUGGGCGAAAGCCUGAUCCAGCAAUGCCGCGUGCAGGAUGAAGGCCUUCGGGUUGUAAACUGCUUUUGUACGGAACGAAAAGACUCUGGUUAAUACCUGGGGUCCAUGACGGUACCGUAAGAAUAAGCACCGGCUAACUACGUG